GACGAACGCUGGCGGCGUGCUUAACACAUGCAAGUCGAACGGUAAGGCCCUUCGGGGUACACGAGUGGCGAACGGGUGAGUAACACGUGGGUGAUCUGCCCUGCACUUCGGGAUAAGCCUGGGAAACUGGGUCUAAUACCGGAUAGGACCCUGCGAUUCAUGUCCUGGGGUGGAAAGCUUUUGCGGUGUGGGAUGGGCCCGGGGCCAGUCAGCUUGUGGGUGGGGUGAUGGCCUACCAAGGCGACGACGGGUAGCCGGCCUGAGAGGGUGACCGGCCACACUGGGACUGAGAUACGGCCCAGACUCCUACGGGAGGCAGCAGUGGGGAAUAUUGCACAAUGGGCGCAAGCCUGAUGCAGCGACGCCGCGUGAGGGAUGACGGCCUUCGGGUUGUAAACCUCUUUCAGCACCGACGAAGCGCAAGUGACGGUAGGUGCAGAAGAAGGACCGGCCAACUACGUGCCAGCCGCCGCAGUAA
Molecule: ribosomal RNA, 478 nt
Filed under: uncultured bacterium
Lineage: Bacteria
Description: partial 16S ribosomal RNA
Rfam family: Bacterial small subunit ribosomal RNA
Source: RNAcentral